Molecule: long non-coding RNA, 680 nt
Organism: Rhododendron vialii
Lineage: Eukaryota; Viridiplantae; Streptophyta; Magnoliopsida; Ericales; Ericaceae
Exons: 2
Source: RefSeq, a predicted model, not a curated record
CUACAAACGAGCUGAACGGCUCAAGACUCGGCUCGAGAAAAGCUAUCCAAGCUCUACUCGGAUGCUAAACAAACAAGUUCGAGCCUAGCAAUUUCGCAUUCUCUUCUUAAACAUAUGGCUCUUCUCACCCAUGCAUUGAACUUGGGCGUUGACCCAAAAGUCCAAGUCUUCUUGGGGGCAGGUGCAUUAAAUUCGUAGAAAAUGGGUGUCAUACAUUUUUUGGGCUAUAAAAGGGUGAACCCUACCUGCCCUUUCCCUAUACCCAGGGAAAAUGGGUUUAAGUAAGCUUUUUGUUGUUUUGCAAGUCCUUUUGAUCUCUGUCAUUCUCUUGGCUUUUCAAGUGGCUGCUAGGGAACUGGUCGAGACUUCUAGUGCUCUAAAUCCUUACCAUAAGAUGGACAGAAAGCUGAUCAAGAAUCCAGAUAAUCCAUGGGGCCACAAUCCCUAGACAUGGAUGUUUUGCCUCAAUGACUCGAGAGCUUAAUUAAUUAAUUCGAGACAAAGGGUUGGCUUGGUGAUUAAGAUGUCCCGAGGCGAUCGAUGCUCGCACUUGAAUCUCACUACUGCAAGUUAGCUAGUACUAUUUUUCUUUUUUCUUUUUUCUUUUUUUUUUCAAUUCUCCUCCUAUCAGUUGUAAAAACGUGGAAUUAAAAUAAAGUUGUUUGUGAAUUGUUGCGAAA